AGAGUUUGAUCAUGGCUCAGAAUCAACGCUGGCGGCGCGCCUAACACAUGCAAGUCGAGCGAGAAAGUGGAGCAAUCCAUGAGUACAGCGGCGUACGGGUGAGUAACACGUGGGUGAUCUACCUCUUAGUGGGGAAUAACCCUGGGAAACCGGGGCUAAUACCGCAUAAGCCUUAGCAGGGAAAGCAGCAAUGCGCUGAGAGAGGAGCCCGCGGCUGAUUAGCUAGUUGGUGAGGUAAAGGCCCACCAAGGCAUAGAUCGGUAGCCGGCCUGAGAGGGCACACGGCCACACUGGCACUGAAACACGGGCCAGACUCCUACGGGAGGCAGCAGUGGGGAAUCUUGCACAAUGGGGGAAACCCUGAUGCAGCGACGCCGCGUGAGCGAUGAAGCCCUUCGGGGUGUAAAGCUCUUUCGGCAGGGAAGAUUAUGACGGUACCUGCAGAAGCAGCUGCGGCUAACUACGUGCCAGCAGCCGCGGUAAUACGUAGGCAGCGAGCGUUGUUCGGAGUUACUGGGCGUAAAGGGUGUGUAGGCGGUUCUUUAAGUUUGGUGUGAAAUCUCCCGGCUCAACUGGGAGGGUGCGCCGAAUACUGAGGGACUAGAGUGCGGGAGAGGAAAGUGGAAUUCCUGGUGUAGCGGUGAAAUGCGUAGAUAUCAGGAGGAACACCGGUGGUGUAGACGGCUUUCUGGACCGUAACUGACGCUGAGACACGAAAGCGUGGGUAGCAAACAGGAUUAGAUACCCUAGUAGUCC
Molecule: ribosomal RNA, 756 nt
Filed under: uncultured bacterium
Lineage: Bacteria
Description: bacterial SSU rRNA
Rfam family: Bacterial small subunit ribosomal RNA
Source: RNAcentral